This 67-nucleotide transfer RNA is filed under the name Marmota monax (woodchuck). Its description in RNAcentral is "tRNA.Ala". It matches the Rfam family "tRNA". Rfam says of the family: Transfer RNA (tRNA) molecules are approximately 80 nucleotides in length. Lineage: Eukaryota; Metazoa; Chordata; Mammalia; Rodentia; Sciuridae. The record is from RNAcentral.
GGUUGUGGCUCAGCGGUAAAGCACUCGCCUAGCAUGUGUGAGGCCCUGGGUUCGAUUCCCAGCACCA